ACAGGAUGAAUCACCAUUUGUAAAAGACUAAUUCAAACAUAUUCAGUACACUAAUAACAUAGGAAACAUCCAUUUAAGAUCUCACCUAAAAGCUAACGCCAACUCAUUUGUGAUGUCUUUUCUUUGCUAUUUGCCAAUAGUAGCAGCAACUUAAUCAUCAAAAUAUAAGACCAAGUUUAGAAAAUCCAACAAAGAUAAUUCAUCAUCAUAAAAACCAUAAUUUCCUUGCAUGAAUAGGCCAUUUAGAUGAUUAUCUGCC
This 259-nucleotide long non-coding RNA is filed under the name Gossypium barbadense (sea-island cotton). Its description in RNAcentral is "long non-coding RNA (GBAR_LNC003308)". The record is from RNAcentral. Lineage: Eukaryota; Viridiplantae; Streptophyta; Magnoliopsida; Malvales; Malvaceae.